GCUUUGGAGCUGAGCCGCUGU
This 21-nucleotide unclassified non-coding RNA is filed under the name Chlamydomonas reinhardtii. RNAcentral describes it as "small RNA Cre_1811". Lineage: Eukaryota; Viridiplantae; Chlorophyta; Chlorophyceae; Chlamydomonadales; Chlamydomonadaceae. The record is from RNAcentral.